This is a non-coding RNA of Boleophthalmus pectinirostris (great blue-spotted mudskipper), 430 nucleotides long. The record is from the annotation of a RefSeq genome assembly. NCBI's taxonomy places the organism in Eukaryota, Metazoa, Chordata, Actinopteri, Gobiiformes, Gobiidae.
CAGACUUCAGAAAGUUCACAUGAGGAUCACUCAGCUGUGUUUUGGACACAUGUUUCCUUUAAUGGCAGCACUGCUCCUGCUUUUGUUGAGUGGAGUCAGAUGUGAAGAGCUCACUGCUCUAAAGCCUGAGGUCUGCGCUUCAGAAGGCUCCUCUGUCUCUCUGGGAUACUCUUAUUACAAAGAACCAACGUACAGUGAUUAUUUCUACUGGUAUCGACAAUAUCCAGGAAAACCUCCAGAAUUCUUGGUUUCACAUUUUGGAACUGGAACUGUAAUAACAGAGAAAAUAACAGGAUUCAAGUUUGACGUGAAAAGUAAAGUCAUAUCUCUGCUGGUGUCGUCUGCUGCAGUGGGAGACUCUGCUGUGUAUUACUGUGCUGUGAGGCCCACAGUGACAGCAAACCCACAGUCUCUGAACAAAAACCUGUGA